UACAGAGGGUGCAAGCGUUAAUCGGAAUUACUGGGCGUAAAGCGCAUGUAGGUGGGACAAUAAGUUUGAUGUGAAAGCCCUGGGCUUAACCUGGGAAUGGCGUUGAAGACUGUUGUUCUAGAGUUUGACAGAGGGUCGUGGAAUUUCCGGUGUAGCGGUGAAAUGCGUAGAGAUCGGAAAGAACACCAGUGGCGAAGGCGGCGACCUGGGGUC
This 213-nucleotide ribosomal RNA is filed under the name uncultured bacterium. RNAcentral describes it as "partial 16S ribosomal RNA". It matches the Rfam family "Bacterial small subunit ribosomal RNA", at positions 524 to 735 of the family's 1533-position model. The record is from RNAcentral.